Long non-coding RNA from Rhipicephalus sanguineus (brown dog tick), 371 nucleotides. RefSeq lists it as uncharacterized. NCBI's taxonomy places the organism in Eukaryota, Metazoa, Arthropoda, Arachnida, Ixodida, Ixodidae. The record is from RefSeq and is a predicted model, not a curated record. The transcript is spliced from 3 exons.
AGAUAUAUGAUGUAUAAUUAGGUAGGCCCGUCCUGACAAGUCGGCCAUCAAUCCACCGCAGGAAGGGCCGGUGCUGUCGCCAGCGCUGUGUACACCAGUUUCACGUGGCAAAUGGUAGCAGUGAAAGUAAGCGGAGAUUUUCUCGGAACGUGUUCGACAUAGUGGCUUACUGUUAUGUGCCGCGAUGUCGCGGCGUUUGUUAUGAAGAGCGCUGGUUCAUGUCCUGUGACGAGACAAGGCGCUGUCUGCGGGCGUUGCGCCAGGGUGUGGUCCUCGGGAGCGCAUAGUGCGGGACGCCCUCCAAACAGAAAGCGUCACGGGUCAGCCAGCUUUUACUUGCGCCACAAGUGGCAGGUGAGUGCAGCGGUGCA